GUUUUACCGAGAACUGCCCCGAAAGAGAUCAGGACCGUGGCUGUGCUGAAGUCCGCAUUGAUGAUCCUGCAACGCGAGCGGACGGGUUGUUCGGAAAAGAACUUACAAGCGUGAUUGUGAGCGAUGCGAGUGCCAUAUGCCCUGCAUGAGGAGCCCCCACUGCAGGCCGAAGGCGGCCAGUAGCAGGUUGACGCCCACGCUGCUGAAGCCGUAUCGCUUCAGGAAGGUCAUCAAGAAGCCAAAGCCGAUGAAGAUCAUCACGUGGACAUCUUGGAACACUGGAGGCGCACAGGAAAGGAGGGAGGUUUUCAGAGCAUCCCUCAGCGAGCCAGUCGCAAACCCAGUCAGACUUACUCGGAUAGAGCUCCAUCGGCGGCUCGUGGUGGUCCGUGCCGUUGGCGCCGUGCCCAGCGUGGCCGUGGGCCCUGCCGUCAUC
Long non-coding RNA from Syngnathoides biaculeatus (alligator pipefish), 436 nucleotides. RefSeq lists it as uncharacterized. The transcript is spliced from 3 exons. The record is from RefSeq and is a predicted model, not a curated record. NCBI's taxonomy places the organism in Eukaryota, Metazoa, Chordata, Actinopteri, Syngnathiformes, Syngnathidae.